UGGUUGCCCAGUUUUAGGUUUCCUUUGCAGUAAGUGCAGGACCACCAUCCAAAUGGAUGGUCCUGGGAUUAUCAAAUGCAUACUAAGGAAGUGAGACUAGAAAACGUGGCAUCAGAGGUUGCACUUCGCACAGGAUAUAUCCAAGUAAACCUGUUACAUGCAUCAACACAUACACAAACAUACUUAUAACCAUGAGAUGUUGG
Molecule: non-coding RNA, 203 nt
Organism: Pelobates cultripes (western spadefoot toad)
Lineage: Eukaryota; Metazoa; Chordata; Amphibia; Anura; Pelobatidae
Source: the annotation of a GenBank genome assembly